UUGUUCCAGAGAACUCCUACACAUCAAUUAACUGGAGACAGACACUGUUCUCCUGGGAAAAUGCUUGCUUCCUAAAUAGCUAGAGUAGCAAGACUUGUUUGGAGACCCUUGCUUUGUUGAGCCCAUCAGCCCUUAAGUAGGAUGUCAGAAACUGCUGGAUUCCAGUCCUCCACCAUGAGAGACCUCUUUAGGUUAUACAACUUAUGUUGUAUAUGGCGGCAGAACUGUAAGUCUUACGUUAUCUCGCCGUCUUUCCUUUCUAGAGUGCUGAGCACGUCAAGUGCGUGUUUUUACAAGGGAGAGUUGUGCGCUACAGAGACAGAGCAGCGAAUAAACUGCCGCUUGGAACUCAGUGUUGCCUAUCACAUCUUUCGUCUUUCCAUUCUCGGCUCUCCUCCGUUGAUAUACGUUCGUGGUCAUAUGCGGGGUCAUUACCCCCCAACAAAAUAGCAACAACCCCGAGAGGAGUGUGCAGCCUCUUUUUAAGCACAGCUAGAGGAAUUUCAGGAGUGGUUUGGUCAUCUCAAACACAAUGGAUUAAGCAAGCAGCAGUUCUUACACCUUUAACUGGCUGAGGUUUUUAUCUUUGGACAUACUUGGGUUCACUGGAGGCACAGCGGCUGGGCCCACAGUAACAAAGAGACUGCAAAUCCUCAGGAGAAGGGGAUCUGGGAAAGAAUGCGAUGGGCAUCUGUGACAAACAACCGUUUCCUCAACUUCACUCACAUCUGACUGUCAGGUCACAGUUGACCCUGAAGCCUGUGUUGAAUCUUGUGCUGCGACUCAAGAGCUCUUGUGUGGGUGUGGCCAUUGCCACAGCCAUAAACAGCAUGUGGGAGCAUUUUGCUCCUCAGCAGUUCCUCUGCAACAGAACAAGUGUGCAUGCGAUCUCAAGGUUAUUUUUGUGAGGACAGAAAUUACACCUGUUCUCUUUACCGCCAUGCACUAGGACAGGGUCUGGUCAACAGUGGAAGCAAAGGAAAUAUUUGUUGAACAAAUAAAAAAUUAAUAACUGCUUGGUAAAUUUUUAAAUAGUUUCUUGAAUAAUACAUUCCAGUGAGCUGGUGCUAGAAGAAAUGUUUUGGUAGGUAGCUAAUGAGAGACAGACACAAAAAUACAGGAUAGGGCGGAUCCCUUACAUUUGUAGCCUCUUCAAGUGGACGGCACUAGAAGAAGCCAUCCUGAGAGAAGUAACCCAGUCACAGAAAGAU
Molecule: long non-coding RNA, 1211 nt
Organism: Mesocricetus auratus (golden hamster)
Lineage: Eukaryota; Metazoa; Chordata; Mammalia; Rodentia; Cricetidae
Exons: 3
Source: RefSeq, a predicted model, not a curated record